RNAcentral lists this long non-coding RNA (2194 nucleotides) under Gadus morhua (Atlantic cod). Its description in RNAcentral is "lncRNA (ENSGMOG00000023821.1)". Lineage: Eukaryota; Metazoa; Chordata; Actinopteri; Gadiformes; Gadidae. The record is from RNAcentral.
UAGAGCGGAUGACGUCACAUAUCCUCAUUAGCAUAUUACAGCGGCUUACGUCAUAUGUCAUCAUUAGCAUACGGAGGACUAUAAAUGACACGCGCGCCGUCGCCGCGCCACACUGCUGCAGACGCCACACCUUGGACCGUAACUUUCAACGUCCGUCAGACUCCGACUCAAAUCGCAAACAUGUCCGACAAGCCCAAGCUCGAAGAGGUAACCUCUUUCGACAAGACCAAGCUGAAGAAGACCGAGACCAAGGAGAAGAACGUUCUUCCCUCGCAAGAAAUCAUCGACCAGGAGAAGAAGGCAGAGUAAUGUCCUCCUUCCAGCCCUCUCUGCCCCCAGCUCACCACCUCCUCCCCACUCCCUCCAUUGCCUUUCUGUCACUUCAGAUGUUAUUUUUUUUAUUUAGCUGUAUAACUUUGUAACCGAAAAUAUGAAAGGAAGGCCAAAAAAUACACCAUAGAGCGGGCUAGAACGCCCUCCCCUGCAUGGAUCCACCCCCUGCUGUCAUCGCAAAACCCACCGUCGGACGUCUAAGAUGUCCGUCGCCUGGGUGGCGACGUGACGCUACAGGAGGGGAGGAGGCCUGAGAGGAAGAGGAUAAUGAAGAGGACCCCCCCCCCCCCUCUGUUGGGCUUGUGGUGUUCGAGGACCGGAGGGCGGGUGUCCUUGUUCAGAAUGUAAUGAGGGCGUGGCCUUCAUGUCACAGGAAGCUCCUUCUCCUCUUCCUCGUCUCGCCCUUAUCACUUCCUGCUUCUGGCCGCUUCUGCUGACCCGCCGUAACCAUGGCGACUAGCGUCUCUUUCGUUUUCUACGUUUCGGAGAUGCACAAUCUUUAUUUUUUUUACGCUGGUUAAAUUCUUAUGCAUCAUGAAACGGAUGAGAUGGAAGCCAUCUAGAUCUGGGAAAAUGAAAAUCAAACCACUGACUUUAUUCGUCUCUCCGUUGCAAUUGUGUAGAUAUAGUACCGUUUUGCACCCUAUAUCGCCCCCCCAAUAAUGCAGAAACAACGCAUGCUGGGAAUUGGUUCCAGAUAUCAACUGUUGGUCUAAAUUCACAAAAUGAAUAAUCUUUUUGGGGGUUUCUGUAAGAACCCAUGUUAAACCACAAACCAUUACCAGUACUGGCAAACCGUUAAAUGUUGUAAUAAAAAAAUUAUUUGAUAAAACAAAGACUGCAGUUGUGUUGUUUUUCCCCUUCGACCCUUGUAGAAAACGACUGGCCAUGGCCAUCUUGUCAUCUAUUGGAAAUUUGUUCAUUAGAUGCAUAUUUAGCUUUUUUUUUGUCACCCAAUCUCAAAAGCUGAACCCAAACUUGUUCAAACAAAGGCAGCGAUUCAUGCAGGGAAUAGUUACAGUUCAGUUUUUUGGUUUUGAUUCUUAAAUGAGUCAUUUUUCAUGUUUGAACUUUCAAAAUCUGAAAACGUAAACACAAAAUGCACAUUGCAGUAAGACUGAUCCAGGAAGUGGGACUUGGACUACCCUGCCUACUUGGGGUUAGAUCCUCUUCCCACUGACGAGCAGGUCUUCACUGACACUGAUAAGAUGGACGGCAUUUAUUGAUUGUAUCAGAGGUGGUAACACGUUGAGGCCCUUGUAACUCAUACUCAUACGGAUUGGGAUGGCCUCGCUACCCUAAUAGCGGCCUGUCCUUAAGGUAUGUGCUGGCGUCUCGCCGCGUGAAGUUUAGCCGACUAACCCUGUCCUGAAUUAGCAAAGCCCUCCUGGGCCUGGCAUUACCUGGACAUGACAUCAACGUCACACCACCUCUUGAACAAAUAUCAAACAUUAAUCGUGGGAAUUAUGUAAUAAGAGCAAGCUAAAUAUGAAAUGCAUCUAUUUCUCUCAAGUAUAUCCAACUCUGUCACUUUGUUUACAACAUAGCAUCCGUUUUCCAUAAUUUAUAGCAAUUCAUUCAUAGCGAAAGAGCGAACUAUUGUGAAUUUAUCACAAAAAGGUAUUUCACCACCUAUUUUAUUUAAACAGCAAUUAUACAUCUCUCUCUAUAUUCAACAGUAUAUAUAUAUGUUACAUUUUUGUUACAUUUGUUUUAGUGUUCUUUAGUGGUCUUCUUUAGUAUUUUAUCCGGUCUUUUGGUCAUUUGUUUUUGUCUCUUUUCCACAGCAAUGCAAUUCUGGAGGAUUAACAUUUCUGGUAUCUCGGUGACUGGGCCUGUGGUUUCAUUGGGUUAAUCAUGC